This 156-nucleotide ribosomal RNA is filed under the name Triticum dicoccoides. Its description in RNAcentral is "rRNA 5_8S_rRNA". It matches the Rfam family "5.8S ribosomal RNA". From Rfam's summary of the family: 5.8S ribosomal RNA (5.8S rRNA) is a component of the large subunit of the eukaryotic ribosome. It is transcribed by RNA polymerase I as part of the 45S precursor that also contains 18S and 28S rRNA. Functionally, it is thought that 5.8S rRNA may be involved in ribosome translocation. The record is from RNAcentral. Lineage: Eukaryota; Viridiplantae; Streptophyta; Magnoliopsida; Poales; Poaceae.
GACUCUCGGCAACGGAUAUCUCGGCUCUCGCAUCGAUGAAGAACAUAGCGAAAUGCGAUACCUGGUGUGAAUUGCAGAAUCCCGCGAACCAUCGAGUCUUUGAACGCAAGUUGCGCCCGAGGCCACUCGGCCGAGAGCACGCAUGCCUGGGCGUCA